This 374-nucleotide ribosomal RNA is filed under the name uncultured organism. RNAcentral's name for it is "partial 16S ribosomal RNA". It matches the Rfam family "Bacterial small subunit ribosomal RNA", at positions 527 to 897 of the family's 1533-position model. The record is from RNAcentral.
GUAGGACGCAAGCGUUAUCCGGAUUUACUGGGGUUUAAAGCGUGCGUAGGUUGCAAAGUUAGUCUAUGAUUAAAGAUCGAGGCUUAACCUCGGGAAUGUCAUAGAUACUGCUUUGCUAGAGGUCAGACGGGGAAAGCGGAAUUCCCGGUGUAGGAGUAAUAUCCGUUGAUAUCGGGAGGAACACCAGUGGCGAAGGCGGCUUUCUAGACUGAUUCUGACACUGAGGCACGAAAGCUAGGGGAGCAAAAGGGAUUAGAUACCCCUGUAGUCCUAGCCGUAAACGAUGGAUGCUAGACGUUAGAGGUAUCGACCCCUCUAGUAUCGCAGGGAAACCGUUAAGCAUCCCACCUAGGGAGUACGGCCGCAAAGGCUAA